Molecule: ribosomal RNA, 431 nt
Filed under: uncultured bacterium
Lineage: Bacteria
Description: partial 16S ribosomal RNA
Rfam family: Bacterial small subunit ribosomal RNA
Source: RNAcentral
AACGAACGCUGGCGGCAUGCCUAACACAUGCAAGUCGAGCGAGCCGUUCGGGGCGCGGCACGCGGGGGUGUAUCACGCGUGGACGUAUGUUUUGGGUUUGGAAAAAACUGGGCGAAUGGGGCUAAAAUAGGAGAAGCUGUCUCGGGAAAAGAUUUAUCGCCGAAAGAUCGGCCCGCGUUUGAUUAGCUAGUUGGUGAGGUAAAGGCUCACCAAGGCGACGAUCAGUAGCUGGUCUGAGAGGAUGAUCAGCCACACUGGGACUGAGACACGGCCCAGACUCCUACGGGAGGCAGCAGUGGGGAAUAUUGGACAAUGGGCGAAAGCCUGAUCCAGCAAUGCCGCGUGAGUGAUGAAGGCCUUAGGGUUGUAAAGCUCUUUUGCCCGGGAAGAUAAUGACAGUACCGGAAGAAUAAGCCCCGGCUAACUCCGUG